ACGAUGUUCCGCUGUCUCCUAGAGGGCAAGAGCAUUAG
Molecule: regulatory RNA element, 38 nt
Organism: Halobacillus halophilus DSM 2266
Lineage: Bacteria; Bacillati; Bacillota; Bacilli; Caryophanales; Bacillaceae
Rfam family: Ribosomal protein L19 leader
About the family: This family is a putative r-protein leader autoregulatory structure found in B. subtilis and other low-GC Gram-positive bacteria.
Source: Rfam